Molecule: ribosomal RNA, 203 nt
Filed under: uncultured bacterium
Lineage: Bacteria
Description: partial 16S ribosomal RNA
Rfam family: Bacterial small subunit ribosomal RNA
Source: RNAcentral
UUGCAGGCUGCAACCCGCCUGCAUGAAGUCGGAAUUGCUAGUAAUCGCGGAUCAGCAUGCCGCGGUGAAUACGUUCCCGGGCCUUGUACACACCGCCCGUCACACCAUGGGAGCCGGUAAUACCCGAAGUCAGUAGUCCAACCACGUGAGGACGCUGCCGAAGGUAGGAUUGGCGACUGGGGGUGAAGUCGUAACAAGGUACC